UUUUGUUUCAUUGGAAACACUAAUGUUACGCUCUCUUCUGAGAGACGGAAAGCAGCGCUAUUCCGUAUUAACGGUAAAUUGGCAGAGCUUGGCACUAAGGAGAUUGGGCCCCAGGCACAAGGAAAAUUGUUCGGUGAACCGUUCCUCAAGGAACUUAAACACGUGAACGUGUUCACUUCACUUAAUAAGGCGCAGUCCUCUAUGCGCAGAGUCUUCCGAAGCACUACCACCAGAGGAGUUUUUGGAAGGGCUGGCCGGCAACGGGGCCGUGCCGCCAGCCGAUUCUGGCCUUCAGGCCCCCGCACUCAACCGACACCUUUCUACCCAACACGAGGGUACAGGCAACAACCUUUCUCACGAGGCUCGGACAGAGGCCGGGGACCACGCGGAUGCGGACGUUCCCGCUUUGCUACAGGUAAGCACCCGUAUUCCUCCAUUGUUACCUUGCACCCGCCACGCGGGCCGUAUUUCCCAUUCUUUCCAGAAUUGGGCCGCUCUGUCCUCAGACAAGUGGAUCCUACAAACGGUACAGGGAUAUGUCAUAGACCUAGUAGGGACUCCCUUUCAGACACAACCUCCUCACCCCAUCCACAUGUCAUCUUCCGACCAAUCCCUCGUCAACGCGGAACUACGCGAACUUUGGGACAAAGGGGCUAUCCAGCCGACCUACGACGGGGGAGGUUUUUUCAGCAAUAUUUUUCUGGUUCGGAAGAAGUCGGGAGAAUUCCGUCCGGUCAUCAACCUACGCGGCCUCAACGCGUAUGUGGCAUAUCGCCACUUCAAGAUGGAGGGCAUCCACCUUCUGCGGGACCUCCUACAAAGCAACGACUGGUUCACCAGACUAGAUCUAAAAGAUGCAUACCUGUCGGUCCCAGUGCAUCCGGAUUGCCGAACACUCCUACGUUUCCUCUGGCACGGCCGUCCUUGGCAAUUCACCUGCCUCCCUUUCGGGCUCAGCUCGGCCCCUUGGUGUUUCACCAAACUUCUGAAACCGGUGGUGGCCCACCUGAGAUCCAGGGGCGUCCGAUGAUUCAUCUACCUGGACGACCUGCUUCUCUUUUGCUCCAACGAGCACAGACUGCACCAACACACUCAUCUCGCAGUAACACUGCUGGAAUCUCUGGGCUUCGUGGUGAACCGCCAGAAAUCGGAAUUGACCCCAACCCAGACGAUACAAUUCCUGGGUUUCGAGAUCGACUCGACUACAUGCACUCUAAAGCUUCCAGCCUCGAAGAUCUCGUCUAUUCGCAAGGAGAUUCGCAGAGCAC
Molecule: non-coding RNA, 1268 nt
Organism: Pelobates cultripes (western spadefoot toad)
Lineage: Eukaryota; Metazoa; Chordata; Amphibia; Anura; Pelobatidae
Source: the annotation of a GenBank genome assembly